This 587-nucleotide ribosomal RNA is filed under the name uncultured bacterium. RNAcentral describes it as "bacterial SSU rRNA". It matches the Rfam family "Bacterial small subunit ribosomal RNA", at positions 337 to 916 of the family's 1533-position model. The record is from RNAcentral.
UCCUACGGGAGGCAGCAGUGGGGAAUAUUGGACAAUGGGGGCAACCCUGAUCCAGCCAUGCCGCGUGUGUGAAGAAGGCCCUCGGGUUGUAAAGCACUUUCAGCGAGGAAGAACGCCUAGCGGUUAAUACCCGCUAGGAAAGACAUCACUCGCAGAAGAAGCACCGGCUAACUCCGUGCCAGCAGCCGCGGUAAUACGGAGGGUGCAAGCGUUAAUCGGAAUUACUGGGCGUAAAGCGCGCGUAGGUGGCUUGAUAAGCCGGUUGUGAAAGCCCCGGGCUCAACCUGGGAACGGCAUCCGGAACUGUCAAGCUAGAGUGCAGGAGAGGAAGGUAGAAUUCCCGGUGUAGCGGUGAAAUGCGUAGAGAUCGGGAGGAAUACCAGUGGCGAAGGCGGCCUUCUGGACUGACACUGACACUGAGGUGCGAAAGCGUGGGUAGCAGACAGGAUUAGAUACCCUGGUAGUCCACGCCGUAAACGAUGUCGACCAGCCGUUGGGUGCCUAGCGCACUUUGUGGCGAAGUUAACGCGAUAAGUCGACCGCCUGGGGAGUACGGCCGCAAGGUUAAAACUCAAAUGAAUUGACGG